This 433-nucleotide ribosomal RNA is filed under the name uncultured bacterium. RNAcentral describes it as "partial 16S ribosomal RNA". It matches the Rfam family "Bacterial small subunit ribosomal RNA", at positions 29 to 507 of the family's 1533-position model. The record is from RNAcentral.
AGCGAACGCUGGCGGCAGGCCUAACACAUGCAAGUCGAACGAACUCUUCGGAGUUAGUGGCGGACGGGUGAGUAACACGUGGGAACGUGCCUUUAGGUUCGGAAUAACUCAGGGAAACUUGAGCUAAUACCGGAUGUGCCCUUCGGGGGAGAGAUUUAUCGCCUUUAGAGCGGCCCGCGUCUGAUUAGCUAGUUGGUGAGGUAAAGGCUCACCAAGGCGACGAUCAGUAGCUGGUCUGAGAGGAUGAUCAGCCACAUUGGGACUGAGACACGGCCCAAACUCCUACGGGAGGCAGCAGUGGGGAAUCUUGCGCAAUGGGCGAAAGCCUGACGCAGCCAUGCCGCGUGAAUGAUGAAGGUCUUAGGAUUGUAAAAUUCUUUCACCGGGGACGAUAAUGACGGUACCCGGAGAAGAAGCCCCGGCUAACUUCGUG